AAGGUGGCUUUUGGGCUGUCGCAGAUGGAUGAGCCUGCGUUGGAUUAGCUAGUUGGUGGGGUAAGGGCCUACCAAGGCUACGAUCCAUAGCUGAUUUGAGAGGAUGAUCAGCCACAUUGGGACUGAGACACGGCCCAAACUCCUACGGGAGGCAGCAGUGAGGAAUAUUGGACAAUGGGGGCAACCCUGAUCCAGCAAUGCCAUGUGUGUGAAGAAGGCCUUAGGGUUGUAAAGCACUUUAGUUGGGGAAGAAAGCUUUGAGGUUAAUAGCCUUGAGGAAAAGGACGUUACCCAAAGAAUAAGCACCGGCUAACUCCGUGCCAGCAGCCGCGGUAAUACGGGGGGUGCAAGCGUUAAUCGGAAUUACUGGGCGUAAAGGGUCUGUAGGUGGUUUGUUAAGUCAGAUGUGAAAGCCUAGGGCUCAACCUUGGAACUGCAUUUGAUACUGGUAAACUAGAGUACGGUAGAGGAAUGGGGAAUUUCUGGUGUAGCGGUGAAAUGCGUAGAGAUCAGAAGGAACACCAAUGGCGAAGGCAACAUUCUGGACCGAUACUGACACUGAGGGACGAAAGCGUGGGGAUCAAACAGGAUUAGAUACCCUGGUAGUCCACGCUGUAAACGAUGAGUACUAGCUGUUGGAGUCGGUGUAAAGGCUCUAGUGGCGCAGCUAACGCGAUAAGUACUCCGCCUGGGGACUACGGCCGCAAGGCUAAAACUCAAAGGAAUUGACGGGGACCCGCACAAGCG
Molecule: ribosomal RNA, 747 nt
Filed under: uncultured Francisella sp.
Lineage: Bacteria; Pseudomonadati; Pseudomonadota; Gammaproteobacteria; Thiotrichales; Francisellaceae
Description: bacterial SSU rRNA
Rfam family: Bacterial small subunit ribosomal RNA
Source: RNAcentral